CGAACGAAGAGUUUGAUCCUGGCUCAGGAUGAACGCUGACAGAAUGCUUAACACAUGCAAGUCGACUCGAGUCUUCGGACUUGGGUGGCGCACGGGUGAGUAACGCGUAAAGAACUUGCCUCUUAGACCGGGACAACAUCUGGAAACGGAUGCUAAUACCGGAUAUUAUGGUUUUUUCGCAUGGAGGAAUCAUGAAAGCUAGAUGCGCUAAGAGAGAGCUUUGCGUCCCAUUAGCUAGUUGGUGAGGUAACGGCCCACCAAGGCAAUGAUGGGUAGCCGGCCUGAGAGGGUGAACGGCCACAAGGGGACUGAGACACGGCCCUUACUCCUACGGGAGGCAGCAGUGGGGAAUAUUGGACAAUGGACCACAAGUCUGAUCCAGCAAUUCUGUGUGCACGAUGACGUUUUUCGGAAUGUAAAGUGCUUUCAGUCGGGAAGAAGUCAGUGACGGUACCGACAGAAGAAGCGACGGCUAAAUACGUGCCAGCAGCCGCGGUAAUACGUAUGUCGCAAGCGUUAUCCGGAUUUAUUGGGCGUAAAGCGCGUCUAGGCGGCAAGGAAAGUCUGAUGUGAAAAUGCGGAGCUCAACUCCGUAUGGCGUUGGAAACUGCCUUACUAGAGUACUGGAGAGGUAGGCGGAACUACAAGUGUAGAGGUGAAAUUCGUAGAUAUUUGUAGGAAUGCCGAUGGGGAAGCCAGCCUACUGGACAGAUACUGACGCUAAAGCGCGAAAGCGUGGGUAGCAAACAGGAUUAGAUACCCUGGUAGUCCACGCUGUAAACGAUGAUUACUAGGUGUUGGGGGUCAAACCUCAGCGCCCAAGCUAACGCGAUAAGUAAUCCGCCUGGGGAGUACGUACGCAAGUAUGAAACUCAAAGGAAUUGACGGGGACCCGCACAAGCGGUGGAGCAUGUGGUUUAAUUCGACGCAACGCGAGGAACCUUACCAGCGUUUGACAUCCUACGAACGGAGCAGAGAUGCGCCGGUGCCCUUUCGGGGGAACGUAGUGACAGGUGGUGCAUGGCUGUCGUCAGCUCGUGUCGUGAGAUGUUGGGUUAAGUCCCGCAACGAGCGCAACCCCUAUCGUAUGUUACCAUCCUUCAGUUGGGGACUCAUGCGAUACUGCCUGCGACGAGCAGGAGGAAGGUGGGGAUGACGUCAAGUCAUCAUGCCCCUUAUACGCUGGGCUACACACGUGCUACAAUGGGUAGUACAGAGAGC
RNAcentral lists this ribosomal RNA (1221 nucleotides) under Fusobacterium necrophorum. Its description in RNAcentral is "bacterial SSU rRNA". It matches the Rfam family "Bacterial small subunit ribosomal RNA", at positions 1 to 1247 of the family's 1533-position model. RNAcentral also lists the same sequence under 2 other names. The record is from RNAcentral. Lineage: Bacteria; Fusobacteriati; Fusobacteriota; Fusobacteriia; Fusobacteriales; Fusobacteriaceae.